This 179-nucleotide small nuclear RNA is filed under the name Pteropus alecto (black flying fox). RNAcentral's name for it is "7SK RNA". It matches the Rfam family "7SK RNA". Rfam says of the family: 7SK was discovered as an abundant small nuclear RNA in the mid-70s but a possible function has only recently been suggested. Two independent studies have found that 7SK RNA binds the CDK9/cyclin T complex (known as elongation factor P-TEFb). The record is from Rfam by way of RNAcentral. Lineage: Eukaryota; Metazoa; Chordata; Mammalia; Chiroptera; Pteropodidae.
GAAUGUGAGGGUGACCUAGCUGUGAACCUGCCACACCAUUGAUUGCCAGGGCCCAUUAGACUGAUGUGGUGGCCCAGUGUCUCCUUUCUCCCUCACCUCUGUGUGCAUCAGGCUUUAAGCUGCAGGCUCUUACAGCAAGAAUGACUUUCCCUGAUAAAGAAGGAUUCCUCCACAGUAGG